UGAAAUCUCGGGGCUUAACCCCGAAACUGCGUCUGAAACUACAGGUCUAGAAUCUUGGAGGGGGAAGGGGAAUUUCACAUGUAGGGGUAAAAUCCGUAGAUAUGUGAAGGAACACCAGAGGCGAAGGCGCCUUCCUGGACAAGUAUUGACGCUGAGGUGCGAAAGCGUGGGGAUCAAACAGGAUUAGAUACCCUGGUAGUCCACGCUGUAAACGAUGAAUACUAGAUAUUGCAGGAUUUGACCCCAGCAGUGUCGCAGCUAACGCGUUAAG
RNAcentral lists this ribosomal RNA (271 nucleotides) under uncultured Bacteriovorax sp. RNAcentral's name for it is "partial 16S ribosomal RNA". It matches the Rfam family "Bacterial small subunit ribosomal RNA", at positions 595 to 864 of the family's 1533-position model. Lineage: Bacteria; Pseudomonadati; Bdellovibrionota; Bacteriovoracia; Bacteriovoracales; Bacteriovoracaceae. The record is from RNAcentral.